Molecule: ribosomal RNA, 301 nt
Filed under: uncultured bacterium
Lineage: Bacteria
Description: partial 16S ribosomal RNA
Rfam family: Bacterial small subunit ribosomal RNA
Source: RNAcentral
CAGUCGCCGCGGGAAUACGUAGGGUGCAAGCGUUAAUCGGAAUUACUGGGCGUAAAGCGUGCGCAGGCGGUUUUGUAAGACAGAGGUGAAAUCCCCGGGCUCAACCUGGGAACUGCCUUUGUGACUGCAAGGCUAGAGUACGGCAGAGGGGGAUGGAAUUCCGCGUGUAGCAGUGAAAUGCGUAGAUAUGCGGAGGAACACCGAUGGCGAAGGCAAUCCCCUGGGCCUGUACUGACGCUCAUGCACGAAAGCGUGGGGAGCAAACAGGAUUAGAUACCCCAGUAGUCCCUGUCUCUUAUAC